RNAcentral lists this ribosomal RNA (591 nucleotides) under Escherichia coli. RNAcentral describes it as "bacterial SSU rRNA". It matches the Rfam family "Bacterial small subunit ribosomal RNA", at positions 1 to 579 of the family's 1533-position model. Lineage: Bacteria; Pseudomonadati; Pseudomonadota; Gammaproteobacteria; Enterobacterales; Enterobacteriaceae. The record is from RNAcentral.
UUAAAUUGAAGAGUUUGAUCAUGGCUCAGAUUGAACGCUGGCGGCAGGCCUAACACAUGCAAGUCGAACGGUAACAGGAAGCAGCUUGCUGCUUUGCUGACGAGUGGCGGACGGGUGAGUAAUGUCUGGGAAACUGCCUGAUGGAGGGGGAUAACUACUGGAAACGGUAGCUAAUACCGCAUAACGUCGCAAGACCAAAGAGGGGGACCUUCGGGCCUCUUGCCAUCGGAUGUGCCCAGAUGGGAUUAGCUAGUAGGUGGGGUAAAGGCUCACCUAGGCGACGAUCCCUAGCUGGUCUGAGAGGAUGACCAGCCACACUGGAACUGAGACACGGUCCAGACUCCUACGGGAGGCAGCAGUGGGGAAUAUUGCACAAUGGGCGCAAGCCUGAUGCAGCCAUGCCGCGUGUAUGAAGAAGGCCUUCGGGUUGUAAAGUACUUUCAGCGGGGAGGAAGGGAGUAAAGUUAAUACCUUUGCUCAUUGACGUUACCCGCAGAAGAAGCACCGGCUAACUCCGUGCCAGCAGCCGCGGUAAUACGGAGGGUGCAAGCGUUAAUCGGAAUUACUGGGCGUAAAGCGCACGCAGGCGGU